ACUGCGAGUGAAGCGGGAAAAGCUCAAAUUUAAAAUCUGGUAGUCUUUGGCUGCCCGAGUUGUAAUCUAGAGAAGUGUUAUCCGCGUUGGACCGUGUACAAGUCUCCUGGAAUGGAGCAUCAUAGAGGGUGAGAAUCCCGUCUUUGACAUGGACUACCAGUGCUUUGUGAUGCGCUCUCAAAGAGUCGAGUUGUUUGGGAAUGCAGCUCAAAAUGGGUGGUAAAUUCCAUCUAAAGCUAAAUAUUGGCGAGAGACCGAUAGCGAACAAGUACCGUGAGGGAAAGAUGAAAAGAACUUUGGAAAGAGAGUUAAACAGUACGUGAAAUUGCUGAAAGGGAAACGCUUGAAGUCAGUCGCGUUGACCAGAAAUCAACCUUGCUUUUGCUGGGCGUACUUUCUGGUCAAUGGGUCAGCAUCAAUUUUGACUACUGGAAAAAGUGUGAAGGAAUGUGGCAUCCUCGGAUGUGUUAUAGCCCUUGUUCGCAUACAGCGGUUGGGAUUGAGGAACUCAGCACGCCGUAAGGCCUGGUUUCGACCAUGUUCGUGCUUAGGAUGCUGGCAUAAUGGCUUUAAUCGACCCGUCUUGAAACACGGACCAAGGAGUCUAACAUGCCUGCGAGUGUUUGGGUGGAAAACCCAAGCGCGCAAUGAAAGUGAAAGUUGAGAUCCCUGUCGUGGGGAGCAUCGACGCCCGGACCAGACCUUUUGUGACGGAUCCGCGGUAGAGCAUGUAUGUUGGGACCCGAAAGAUGGUGAACUAUGCCUGAAUAGGGUGAAGCCAGAGGAAACUCUGGUGGAGGCUCGUAGCGAUUCUGACGUGCAAAUCGAUCGUCAAAUUUGGGUAUAGG
This 848-nucleotide ribosomal RNA is filed under the name Conobolbitina dasypus. RNAcentral's name for it is "eukaryotic LSU rRNA". It matches the Rfam family "Eukaryotic large subunit ribosomal RNA", at positions 86 to 921 of the family's 3401-position model. The record is from RNAcentral. Lineage: Eukaryota; Fungi; Basidiomycota; Agaricomycetes; Agaricales; Bolbitiaceae.